RNAcentral lists this unclassified non-coding RNA (345 nucleotides) under uncultured fungus. Its description in RNAcentral is "partial contains 5.8S ribosomal RNA and internal transcribed spacer 2". The stretch from base 1 to 133 matches the Rfam family "5.8S ribosomal RNA", at positions 22 to 154 of the family's 154-position model. Lineage: Eukaryota; Fungi. The record is from RNAcentral.
UGGUUCUGGCAUCGAUGAAGAACGCAGCGAAAUGCGAUAAGUAAUGUGAAUUGCAGAAUUCAGUGAAUCAUCGAAUCUUUGAACGCACAUUGCGCCCGCCAGCAUUCUGGCGGGCAUGCCUGUUCGAGCGUCAUUUCAACCCUCGGGACCCCGCCUUGCGGGGAACCCGGCGUUGGGGAUCGGACCCCCCUCCACGGGGGGACCGGCCCUGAAACCCAGUGGCGGUCCCGCUGCGGCCUUCUCUGCGUAGUAGAAACACCUCGCACUGGAGAGCGGCGCGGCCACGCCGUAAAACAGACGAAUUUUCUGAAUGUUGACCUCGGAUCAGGUAGGAAUACCCGCUGA